CCUACUCACAGAGUGAAAAUGUCGAAGAACACGGAACUAUGUUUCUAGUUACAAAAUUCGAACGAUUAAAUCUAGACAUGAAUAAUGCUCGCAAUUUAAAGUUUGGUUAAAGUUGUUGGGUUGUGAGAAGAGUGUGUAAAUUAUAUUGGAACUGCUUUGUAAGCUUGAAGAGA
Molecule: long non-coding RNA, 173 nt
Organism: Bradysia coprophila
Lineage: Eukaryota; Metazoa; Arthropoda; Insecta; Diptera; Sciaridae
Source: RefSeq, a predicted model, not a curated record